ACGUUCGGAUUGUAGUCUGCAACUCGCCUACAUGAAGUCGGAAUCGCUAGUAAUCGCGGAUCAGCAUGCCGCGGUGAAUACGUUCCCGGGCCUUGUACACACCGCCCGUCACACCAUGAGAGUUUGUAACACCCAAAGCCGGUGGGGUAACCUUUUGGAGCCAGCCGUCUAAGGUGGGACAGAUGAUUGGGGUGAAGUCGUAACAAGGUAAC
RNAcentral lists this ribosomal RNA (212 nucleotides) under uncultured bacterium. RNAcentral's name for it is "partial 16S ribosomal RNA". It matches the Rfam family "Bacterial small subunit ribosomal RNA", at positions 1288 to 1500 of the family's 1533-position model. The record is from RNAcentral.